RNAcentral lists this ribosomal RNA (497 nucleotides) under uncultured bacterium. Its description in RNAcentral is "partial 16S ribosomal RNA". It matches the Rfam family "Bacterial small subunit ribosomal RNA", at positions 28 to 507 of the family's 1533-position model. The record is from RNAcentral.
GAUGAACGCUGGCGGCGUGCCUAAUACAUGCAAGUCGAACGCUGAAGCUUGGUGCUUGCACCGAGCGGAUGAGUUGCGAACGGGUGAGUAACGCGUAGGUAACCUGCCUCUUAGCGGGGGAUAACUAUUGGAAACGAUAGCUAAUACCGCAUAAAAGUCGAUAUCGCAUGAUAUUGAUUUGAAAGGUGCAAAUGCAUCACUAAGAGAUGGACCUGCGUUGUAUUAGCUAGUUGGUGAGGUAACGGCUCACCAAGGCGACGAUACAUAGCCGACCUGAGAGGGGGAUCGGCCACACUGGGACUGAGACACGGCCCAGACGCCUACGGGAGGCAGCAGUAGGGAAUCUUCGGCAAUGGGGGCAACCCUGACCGAGCAACGCCGCGUGAGUGAAGAAGGUUUUCGGAUCGUAAAGCUCUGUUGUAAGAGAAGAACGAGUGUGAGAGUGGAAAGUUCACACUGUGACGGUAACUGACCAGAAAGGGACGGCUAACUACGUG